Long non-coding RNA from Amphimedon queenslandica, 197 nucleotides. RefSeq lists it as uncharacterized. Lineage: Eukaryota; Metazoa; Porifera; Demospongiae; Haplosclerida; Niphatidae. The record is from RefSeq and is a predicted model, not a curated record. The transcript has 2 exons.
AUACAGACACGACAACAUUUGUGUUUGCUGUUUGUAUGGUUGGACGAGCGCACCCCCAAAAUGGCUGCCAUCCCAGGGGAAGCAUUGAGCCAGUGUAAAUCUUCAGGAAUUCUUUAUGGCUUAUCUGACAGUCAGGAUGUCCUUUAUAAUUUUAUUAGAACAGUUAAGGAAGAACUAGUCCUACAGUUUUUAUCCUA